This 456-nucleotide ribosomal RNA is filed under the name Pseudocercospora eumusae. Its description in RNAcentral is "eukaryotic LSU rRNA". The stretch from base 103 to 256 matches the Rfam family "5.8S ribosomal RNA". Lineage: Eukaryota; Fungi; Ascomycota; Dothideomycetes; Mycosphaerellales; Mycosphaerellaceae. The record is from RNAcentral.
GUUGCUUCGGGGGCGACCCUGCCGGCGAACUCGUCGCCGGGCGCCCCCGGAGGUCUUCUAAACACUGCAUCUUUGCGUCGGAGUUCAAAACAAAUCGAACAAAACUUUCAACAACGGAUCUCUUGGUUCUGGCAUCGAUGAAGAACGCAGCGAAAUGCGAUAAGUAAUGUGAAUUGCAGAAUUCAGUGAAUCAUCGAAUCUUUGAACGCACAUUGCGCCCUUUGGUAUUCCGAAGGGCAUGCCUGUUCGAGCGUCAUUUCACCACUCAAGCCUGGCUUGGUAUUGGGCGUCGCGGUGUUUCGCGCGCCUUAAAGUCUUCCGGCUGAGCUGUCCGUCUCCUAGCGUUGUGGAUUCUUCAAUUCGCUUCGGAGUGCGGGCGGCCGCGGCCGUUAAAUCUUUAUUGAAAGGUUGACCUCGGAUCAGGUAGGGAUACCCGCUGAACUUAAGCAUAUCAAU